Unclassified non-coding RNA from Cavia porcellus (domestic guinea pig), 112 nucleotides. It matches the Rfam family "Y RNA". From Rfam's summary of the family: Y RNAs are components of the Ro ribonucleoprotein particle (Ro RNP), in association with Ro60 and La proteins. The Y RNAs and Ro60 and La proteins are well conserved, but the function of the Ro RNP is not known. Lineage: Eukaryota; Metazoa; Chordata; Mammalia; Rodentia; Caviidae. The record is from Ensembl.
GCCUGGUCCGAAGGUAGUGUUGCCUCAAUUGACUGUUCACAGUCAGUACAGAAUGAACUACCUGUUCUACUCUUUUCGGACUCUUCUCACUACUGCACUAGACUAGUCUUCC